GAUGAAGAACGUAGCGAAAUGCGAUACUUGGUGUGAAUUGCAGAAUCCCGUAACCAUCGAGUCUUUGAACGCAAGUUGCGCCCGAAGCCAUCAGGUUGAGGGCACGUCUGCCUGGGCGUCACAUAUCGUUGCCCAAUGCCUAUUGCAGUGCAAUAGGAAUUUCUAGGGCGAAUGAUGGCUUCCCGUGAGCGUUGUUGCCUCGCGGUUGGUUGAAAAUCGAGUCCUUGGUAGGGUGUGCCAUGGUAGAUGGUGGUCGAGUUAGAACGAUACCGAUCAUGUGCAUGCUCCCCAAAAUAUGGCCUCUAUGACCCACACGCGUCUUUUGACGCUCAUGACGAGACCUCAGGUCAGGCGGGGCUACCCGCUGAAUUUAAGCAUAUCAAUAAGCGGAGGA
This 394-nucleotide unclassified non-coding RNA is filed under the name soil metagenome. RNAcentral's name for it is "partial contains 5.8S ribosomal RNA, internal transcribed spacer 2, and large subunit ribosomal RNA". The stretch from base 1 to 121 matches the Rfam family "5.8S ribosomal RNA", at positions 35 to 154 of the family's 154-position model. The record is from RNAcentral.